This 262-nucleotide ribosomal RNA is filed under the name uncultured bacterium. RNAcentral's name for it is "partial 16S ribosomal RNA". It matches the Rfam family "Bacterial small subunit ribosomal RNA", at positions 793 to 1055 of the family's 1533-position model. The record is from RNAcentral.
GUCCUGGCCAUAAACUGUGAACACUAGGUGUCGGGGGUAUCGACCCCCUCGGUGCCGGAGCUAACGCGUUAAGUGUUCCGCCUGGGGAGUACGAUCGCAAGAUUGAAACUCAAAGGAAUUGACGGGGGCCCGCACAAGCGGUGGAGUAUGUGGUUUAAUUCGACGCAACGCGAAGAACCUUACCAAGGCUUAAACUGCAGGGUAAACCCUCCGAAAGGAGGGCUGCUUCGGCGAUCCUGUAGAGGUGCUGCAUGGCUGUCGU